AAAGAAGCAGAGGGGGCUUAGUGGUGGGGUGACUGCGUACCUUUUGUAUAAUGGGUCAGCGACUUAUAUUCUGUAGCAAGGUUAACCGAAUAGGGGAGCCGCAGGGAAACCGAGUCUUAAUUGGGCGUUAAGUUGCAGGGUAUAGACCCGAAACCCGGUGAUCUAGCCAUGGGCAGGUUGAAGGUUGGGUAACACUAACUGGAGGACCGAACCGACUAAUGUUGAAAAAUUAGCGGAUGACCUGUGGCUGGGGGUGAAAGGCCAAUCAAACCGGGAGAUAGCUGGUUCUCCCCGAAAGCUAUUUAGGUAGCGCCUCGUGAAUUCAUCUCCGGGGGUAGAGCACUGUUUCGGCUAGGGGGCCAUCCCGGCUUACCAACCCGAUGCAAACUGCGAAUACCGGAGAAUGUUAUCACGGGAGACACACGGCGGGUGCUAACGUCCGUCGUGAAGAGGGAAACAACCCAGACCGCCAGCUAAGGUCCCAAAGUCAUGGUUAAGUGGGAAACGAUGUGGGAAGGCCCAGACAGCCAGGAUGUUGGCUUAGAAGCAGCCAUCAUUUAAAGAAAGCGUAAUAGCUCACUGGUCGAGUCGGCCUGCGCGGAAGAUGUAACGGGGCUAAACCAUGCACCGAAGCUGCGGCAGCGACGCUGAUGCGUUGUUGGGUAGGGGAGCGUUCUGUAAGCCUGUGAAGGUGUGUCGUGAGGCAUGCUGGAGGUAUCAGAAGUGCGAAUGCUGACAUAAGUAACGAUAAAGCGGGUGAAAAGCCCGCUCGCCGGAAGACCAAGGGUUCCUGUCCAACGUUAAUCGGGGCAGGGUGAGUCGACCCCUAAGGCGAGGCCGAAAGGCGUAGUCGAUGGGAAACGGGUUAAUAUUCCCGUACUUGGUGUUACUGCGAAGGGGGGACGGAGAAGGCUAUGUUGGCCGGGCGACGGUUGUCCCGGUUUAAGCGUGUAGGUGUGUGUUCCAGGUAAAUCCGGUUCACUUUAACACUGAGGCGUGAUGACGAGGCACUACGGUGCUGAAGCAACAAAUGCCCUGCUUCCAGGAAAAGCCUCUAAGCAUCAGGUAACAUCAAAUCGUACCCCAAACCGACACAGGUGGUCAGGUAGAGAAUACCAAGGCGCUUGAGAGAACUCGGGUGAAGGAACUAGGCAAAAUGGUGCCGUAACUUCGGGAGAAGGCACGCUGACAC
This 1192-nucleotide ribosomal RNA is filed under the name Salmonella enterica. RNAcentral describes it as "partial 23S ribosomal RNA". It matches the Rfam family "Bacterial large subunit ribosomal RNA", at positions 568 to 1757 of the family's 2925-position model. The record is from RNAcentral. Lineage: Bacteria; Pseudomonadati; Pseudomonadota; Gammaproteobacteria; Enterobacterales; Enterobacteriaceae.